GAUGAACGCUGGCGGCGUGCCUAAUACAUGCAAGUCGAGCGAACGGACGAGAAGCUUGCUUCUCUGAUGUUAGCGGCGGACGGGUGAGUAACACGUGGAUAACCUACCUAUAAGACUGGGAUAACUUCGGGAAACCGUAGCUAAUACCGGAUAAUAUUUUGAACCGCAUGGUUCAAAAGUGAAAGACGGUCUUGCUGUCACUUAUAGAUGGAUCCGCGCUGCAUUAGCUAGUUGGUAAGGUAACGGCUUACCAAGGCAACGAUGCAUAGCCGACCUGAGAGGGUGAUCGGCCACACUGGAACUGAGACACGGUCCAGACUCCUACGGGAGGCAGCAGUAGGGAAUCUUCCGCGAUGGGCGAAAGCCUGACGGAGCAACGCCGCGUGAGUGAUGAAGGGCUUCGGAUCGUAAAACUCUGUUAUUAGGGAAGAACAUAUGUGUAAGUAACUGUGCACAUCUUGACGGUACCUAAUCAGAAAGCCACGGCUAACUACGUG
RNAcentral lists this ribosomal RNA (497 nucleotides) under uncultured bacterium. RNAcentral describes it as "partial 16S ribosomal RNA". It matches the Rfam family "Bacterial small subunit ribosomal RNA", at positions 28 to 507 of the family's 1533-position model. The record is from RNAcentral.